UAGAAUUUUACUAUAAAUCUGUCUGUUUACCUGUUUACAGAUAUGGAUCGGUAUAUAUGACUGUUCAUCCCUUCGUACCAAAAAAUAAGGAAAACGGAGAGAGAAUCCACUGCCCAAAAUGUGCAUAUACCUCAUUUGUCUAAAAUUAAAUAUAGGUGGGUGGUAGAGGGGGUCAAGUUAUUGAUGUGAGAUGGAUCCCGAUAAAAAAAAAAAACUAAGGUUCUAUUGACAGGAUUCUGAUAUCCUCCAAACAUUAGGGUAGACACGUGUUGGCUGACACCCGAAAGUGACAAAGCCAUAUUAUAAUGCAUGAGAACUAGAAAGAAAUAACUAACAUAAAUAAAACUUGUAAAUUUAACUAUAAUGAAUAUGCAAUUGUGAAACAUGUUUAGAACAUACAACUAAACUGAGACAUUAAAAAGGAAUAAUAUAAAAUUGAAUGAACAAAUGGAAGGGUCCUACACCGAGAGGACUCAAAGAUGCCGAUGCGGGAGUGCCUUGAUGCCGAGAUUGUAUGCCUUGAAUCUAAGUCCUGAGAGGGCGCUAAACAAAACAUGAGUGGACCAAGUUGAUAUAUAGAUAAUACUAAAAUAGUUAAUCUUUAAUGUACUAACCCUCAGGUUUGGAAAACUCGUAUAGCAUAAUAAGUUAUAGGUUUUUCCGAAAACUCUAGCAUGCCAUAAAACCUUUCAUAAAACAUAUAUCAUAUAUAAUGUGCUUAGUAGUAAUAGCCCAAGGCAUAUAUAUAUAUAUAUAUAUAUAUAUAACUUCAUUCGCCCAAAGGCUCUUCAUCUUCCGCCCGUAGGCAUAUAAUAAUAUCUUCUGCCUGUAGGCACUACAACCCACGGCCGAAGCCAAUAUAAGUAUCAUUCGACCCGUAGGCUCCUAUAUCACUCGACAAAAGCCAUAUAUAGAUAUCAUUCGACCCGUAGGCCCCUACAUUACCCGACCGAAGCUAAUAUAAAAGUAUCAUUCGCCUAUAGGCAGUAUCGUUCGCCCAUAGGUAAAUCAUUCGCCCGUAGGUAGAUCAUUGAAUAACCACUAAAUAAGUAUAUAAAAACAUUAACAUAAUAUUUCCAAACAUAAUACAUAUAUCUCAACGGAGCUCAGUAACCCAAACAUCAUAUCUUAAAACAUUUUCAUAGUAUAUAGUCAUCCAUAUAUACUACAACGAACGUAAAAAUCGAUAAAGUAUGGUAAUCCAAAAUAUUCUCAGUAAAGCAUAAUAUCUCAUAAAGUGUAAAUCUAAUUUACUCAUAAACGUUUCAUAAAACGUAACCAUUAAAUCAUGUUUUUCAUGUAUAAAUUUCUAAUAGCAAAAUAUGCAUUUUAGAAGGGGUCCACUCACAGAUACUUCGCCGUCGAAGAGUCAUGCAAAACAAGAGAGGACGGAAACACCAUACACAAUUGCACCUAAGCACAUAAAGGUACCAAUUAAUAAAAUGAAGUUUUAACGAAAAGCCCACGGUACUGUUCACUUUAAUGAAAAACCACAUUUUUACACUAAAAAGUCAAUUCUGGUACUAUUCACUUUACCCUUUAUUUUGUCCUUAUCAUUAAAACUCAAAGUUUUCAAGCCCUUUUCAUUAGUUUUCCUUUAAUAAAACUCUACCAUAACGAUUGAAUUUCGGGAAACGGACGCAAUAAAUGGUCGAAAAACAUAAAAGGGGACCUCGGCUACCCCCAUGCACCGCCGCACGCACCUUCACACACUGCCACGCGCCAUUUUGGGUCACCGGAAAAGUUGACGGAGUCGCCGCACAGUACCUUUGGUGGAGGCGCGUGUAAUACCCUGGAAAUUUAAACAUAUGAAUUAUAUAUUCAUAAUUAUGAAUAUGUGGAGAAAAUCGAAAAUAAAUUGAUUUAUGGUUAUGAAAAUAGAAUUGGGAAAUUUUAAGUUUUGUUUCCGGAAAUUAUUAUAAUUCAUGUAUUUGUAUUAUUGAGUUUAUAUUAUUUUUUAAGAAUUUAUGUUAAGUUAUUUGAAUUGAGUUUUAAAUUAAACUACUUACGAAGUUUGAAGUUUGGAAAUUGAUUAUUUAAAAUCCGUAGACCAUUCAAGGGCACAAUUUAUAUUUUUUAAUAGAGCUUGACCUCAUGAAAGCGUAGAUGUAAAUUGUUCAUGAAACAGAGUUAUAACGAAGGAGUUAUUAACAAGUGAAGUGGAGGGCAAAAUAGACAUUUUACCAUUUAAUUGGAUGGCUCCAGAAAAUCUGGAGUAAUGGGAUGAGCCACGUGUGUGGUUGAGAUUGAGAAGGGAAGUGAGAUGGAAGGAGGAGAUGAAGGAAGAAAGGAGAGAAAAGGAGGGAAGGGCUGCCCAAUGUUUUUUUGGGGGGGGGG
RNAcentral lists this long non-coding RNA (2337 nucleotides) under Malus domestica (apple). RNAcentral describes it as "long non-coding RNA (MDOM_LNC007776)". Lineage: Eukaryota; Viridiplantae; Streptophyta; Magnoliopsida; Rosales; Rosaceae. The record is from RNAcentral.